UCAUCUUCCGUCGUGUUUCAGGUAUCGAUUCCGGUCAGUUUUCCAUGUUCAAAUUCUGUCAAUUCUGCCCUCGUUUCUUAGCAAAGAUUUAGUUCUAGAUUCAAUCUUAUUUUUAGUUCUUGUUUCUUUACAAUUCAUUAGCAAUAAAUGUGUAUUGUUUUCUUGAUCAAUUGCAAUCAAAUUGAACAAUUAAUCUAGAAGUCAGUAGUUGUUAAUCUUGUAAUUUUGAAUCUUAGUUUCUAUCUCAUUACUCUGUAGGUUUUGUUACUGUAUCUGUUAUUUCUUUUAGUUGAUGAUCUGAAUCAAUUAAAUCAUUUCAGUAUUUUAUUUUAAUUCUGUAAUCUUCUUCUAGUUUGGAAUCUGAAUCGAUUAAAUCAUUUCAGUACCUUCUUUUAGUUCUGUAAUCUCCUUCCAGUUGUAAUCUGAAUCAAUUAAAUCAUUUCAGUGUUUUCUUUCAAUUCUGUGAUUUCCUUUUAGUUCCACGUGCCUCCACCAACUUUUUACACAUAUCCAACUUACACCACAAUUCAGCAACCAACAAAUUCAGUAUAUUCAGAAAGUUAUCAGCAAACUCCACCAUCUGAGAUGGCAAUGUCGGAAGCUGCAGCACUUGAGGACUCAGCCUGGUGCUUGGAUUCAGGAGCAUCCAGCCACAUGACUCCAGACCUAACUGCAUUCACUGCCUAUGAAACAGCUCCAGGUACAUAAUAUGUAAUAGUUGGAAGUGGAGAUUACUUACCUGUUAGAUAUAGAGGUAGCUAGAGUCAUAUUGAAAUUUAAGGCAAAAGAAUAUAAUCUAGAGGACUUUUAUGUGUACCAGACCAGGGUUAAAGAAAAAUCUCAUGUCUAUUCAGAAGUUAUCAAAAUAUCUAAAUUGCAUAAUUGUUUUUAAUGAUAAAAAUUUUAUGAUCAAGGACCAAGUCACUAUAGAGACAUUAUUUUCUGGCAAUAGUUCAGAAGACCUCUACCAUAUAUACCCAGAUAAUAAAGCUUGCUAUGAGAUAAAAGCUACAAAAGAAACAUGGUACAACAGAUUAAGGCAUCCAUCAGAGGGUGUAUUAAAGAAAAUUGAACCAGAGUUACAAAUCCAGAAUAAAGAAGGAAGUAAGACAAACUUUUGUCCAGUUUGUCCUCAGGGGAAGGCACAUCAACAACCAUACAUCAGAAGAGAAGGGAUAGCAUCUACACCAUUGAAAACACUACAUAUAGAUCUGUGGGCACCAUCUCCUAAAACUUCGGUAGGAAAUUUCAGAUUUUAUGUAUCAAUAGUGGAUGAGUGUACAAGAUUUAUAUGGUUUUAUCCAAUAAAUAAUAAAUCUGAAUUUUUCUCCAUUUUUGUCAAAUUUCGUGAUUUGGUAGAAAAUUAUUUGGGACAAAAAAUAAAAAAAAAUUCAAACAGAUCAAGGAGGGGAAUUUAUGAAUUUUAGAUUCAAAAGAUACCUAGAGACACAAGGAAUAAACCAUAAAUUGUCAUGCACAUAUACACCUCAACAACAUGGCUUAGUUGAAAGAAGGCAUAGACAGGUACUUAAAGUAGGGAGGUGUUAAAUGAUAAAAGCAGGGAUUCCACAUGAAUAUUGGCUAGAGGUAUUCUCCUCGGGCAGUAUACCUUAUAAACAGACUAAAAACACCCAAUUUGGAAAACAAAAGCCCAUUUGAGAUAAUAAUGAAAAAAUUACCUGAUUACACACUAAUGAAGACUAUAGGAUGUGAAUGCUACCCUCUAUUACCUAAAGGUGAAAGAAACAAGCUAAUGCCUAAAUCAAGAAAAUGUGUAUUUUUGGGGUAUGUAACUCAACAGAAAGGAUACAGGUGUUUAGAUAUGGAAACUAGAAAGAUAAGGAUAGUAAGAAAUGUAAUAUUUAAUGAAGAAUCCUUUCCAUUUAUUGAUGAUCCAAAAUCAAUAAAUAUCCAAACUAAGUCAUACAAACCUAUAGAGUUAGUAUCUCAAUUACAAAUACCAAUAAUUAGAGAUACAAAUAAUGAAAGUAAUGUUCAACCACAAAAUGAGAACAUUACUGAAAUAUCAGAUGAGCACUCAGGCUUAGAAAGGAAUCAAUCUGAUUCUCUUUCUAACAGAGACAGAACUCAUCAAACUAGUCAAAAUCCACAAAUAAAGUCUAGCCCAAUUAGAUCUAAUAACAAUAUAGAAAAUACUAUUCCAAACACUGAGAGUAGGAUUAACCUGGAAUUAAAUCCAGGUAUAAAUCCAUCCACUACUUUGAACACUAAAAUUCAGAGUAGCUCUUCCUCUUUUCCAAACUUAAGAAGGCCAGAAAGAGUAAAACUUCCAAAUGUACUAUAUAAAAUUUUUGAUAUGAAUUCUGAUGCAUGUAAUAAUGUGUUUUAUACUGAUGCUAUUGUGGAGCCUAGUUGUUUUUCACAGGCUAACAAACAUAAAUGCUGGAAAGAAGCAAUGUAAGAAGAGAUGAAAGCAAUUAGAGAAAAUAAUACAUGGAUAUUGGUACCAAAAGAAAGAUAGAAUGUGAUAGGCUCAAAAAUGGAUAUAUAAGGUGAAAAGAAAGUCCAAUGGAAGUGUGGAAAGGUGCAAGGCCAGACUAGUGGCACAAGGAUAUAACCAGGAGGAAAGUGUGGAUUUUCAGUAUACAUAUAGCCCAGUAGUAAAGAUUUUAAUAGUAAGAACUGUAAUAUCACUAACAGUGACAUAUAGCUGGCCUCUCAGGCAACUUGAUGUCAGAAAUGCUUUUCUGAAUGGAAAUCUUCAUGAAACUGUAUACAUGAAGCAACCAAAGUGAUAUGACGACAGGAGUACACCAGGAGAUAUAUGCUUACUGCAAAAAGCAUUGUAUGGGUUAAAAUAAGCUUUCAUGGCCUGGUAUCUCAGACUACAACAGUAUCUAAUAUCUGAGGAGUUCAAAAAUUCAAAUGUUGAUGCAUCACUAUUUUAUAAAGUUAAUGGGAGUCACAAGUUCUUAAUUUUAGUAUAUGUGGAUGAUAUUGUGAUAACAGGUACACAUGAAGAAGAAAUAAACAAGUUUGUGGGAAAAUUGUAUGAAACCUUCAAAUGUAGAGAUAUGGGAAGACUGAUUUUUUUCUUGGGAAUUGAAUGUAUCUACCAAAGAGAUAACAUAAUAUUAUCACAAGAAAAAGUAUAUAAAGGAUGUCCUUAGAAGAUUUGGAUAUGAACAAGCAAAUCCAGUCAAAACACCUAUGACCCAAUCCACAAAACUACAACAAUAUGGGAAAUCCUGUAGAAGACAUCACAGCCUACAGAAGCAUGGUGUGGAGCCUUCAAUAUUUAUCCCUCACUAGAACUGAUUUGUCAUUUGCCAUCAAUCAAGUAUGCCAGUUCUUACAAAAUCCCAAAGAAGGACACUUAAUGGCAGUAAGGAGAAUCCUGAGAUAUUUACAAGGGACAUCCAAUCUAGGGAUGAGAAUAACCAAUUGAACAAGAAAAGUGAUGAAUUUAGUGGCUUAUACUGAUUCAGAUUGGGGUGGCUCAUCAGAUAGGAGGUCAAUUACAAGAUCAAACAUAUGGUAUGACAAUAAUUUGUUGUCUUGGUCAGCUAAAAAGAAGCCAACAAUAUCAAAUUCAAGCUCAGAGGCAUAAUUUAAGGCCAUGGCUCAUGUUAUAUCAAAAGUUAGAUGGUUUUGCUACCUAUUUAGAGAGUUGGGGCUCAAAUUGAGCUCACCUCCAACACUAUUGUGUGACAGUAAAUCAGCGAUUUUCAUGGCAAAGAAUCCGACAAUUAUUUGACAUUCCAGGCAUAUUGAAAUUAGUUACAACUUUGUGAGAAAAUUAAUUAAUAGAAGAACACUUAAAGUAGAAUAUGUACCUACAACUCUACAGUUUGCAUACAGAUUUACAAAAACAUUGAGCACUGAAGGAUUUGUCCAACACCGGCAACGUCACAAGCUCGUUCCAAUCCGACCAUCGGAGCCGAUACAAUCAAAUCUUGCAGAUUCCAUCUUACCAGAUUUGAGGGAGGAUGUGAAAGAGGAAGAAGAGAUACCUGCCCAAAGUGAAGAAGAUUUAAAUUUGGGAUUUUAAAAUGGGUUGACUCCGACACCCAAAGGUAGGAUCCGAAUAAAUCAACUUAUGGAGGAAUGAGUGAGAUACGGAAGUGAUUAUAAAAAGGAGGAGUUAUUAGAAAGGCUACCGGAAAAACAGUUCCAUUUGUGAGUUCUUCUUUUCCUGAUCUUCUUCCAUUUGCUCUCGGUGUUCUUGCAUUCAAUUUCGCAUUUUUGAAUCUCAUCUUCCGUCGUGUUUCAGGUAUCGAUUCCGGUCAGUUUUCCAUGUUCAAAUUCUGUCAAUUCUGCCCUCAUUUCUUAGCAAAGAUUUAGUUCUAGAUUCAAUCUUAUUUUUAGUUCUUGUUUCUUUACAAUUCAUUAGCAAUAAAUGUGUAUUGUUUUCUUGAUCAAUUGCAAUCAAAUCAAACAAUUAAUCUGGAAUUCAUUAGUUAUUAAUCUUGUAGUUUUGAAUCUUAGUUCCUAUCUCAUUACUCUGUAGGUUUUGUUACUGUAUAUGUUAUUUCUUUUAAUUGAUGAUCUGAAUCAAUUAAACCAUUUCAGCACUUUAUUUUAAUUAAAUCAUUUAAAUCAUUUCUAGUUGUAAUCUGAAUCAAUUAAAUCAUUUCAAUGUUUUCUUUCAAUUUUGUGAUUUCCUUUUAUUUUGUACUCUGAAUCGGCUAAAUCAUAUUAGUUCUUUCUUUGAAUAAACAAAAUUCUGCAUCAUGCUUUUCUUAAAUUUAUAGUAUGAAAAAUUUACAGAAUUCUUUCAUUGUUAUUACAAAUUUCAGUCAUUAGUUUAGAUUUGAAUUCUUCACAAGUACAACAUCCGCAAAAGACAUUUUUUAAAUGAUGUACAAAAUUAGAUGUCACUUUAUUCUUUCCAAAAGACAUACCUAUCAAUUUUUAUCUCAAAUAUAAUCAAAUAUUAAUUAUAACCAUUUUUAACUUAUAUCUUUACUUAAUAACUAUCAUGACUUGGAGUAAUUGAUUGACGUACCUCCACUGUCAUUAAUGCGGAUGGUACACAUACAACGAUCCCCUGUCAAAAUAUACAACAAAAUAUACAACAAAAAACACAAUAAAUCAUACUCCAAAAUAUUAUUCCCUGAGAAAUACUAAUUUACUAAAAAUUAACAUUCAUAAAACACCAAAACAUAUAUACCUUCUAAUAUCAACAAGAACCGAUUUGGGGAUAACGUUCUUCUAACAGUGAACCCCAGAACACAAACGGACGAACACUAAGAAGGAGAGGAAAAUGACUCACUUAUACUAAAAAAUCUAACUACGUUUCGAACUACCUCGGUUGCACAACGAUCGUCUCCUUCGGCUGCACAACGCUUCAACACGGUCGCGUCUACUCAAAAAAAAGGUAACCAAUAUUUGAUUUUAAUUAGGGUAAACAAAAUUUGACAACUGAAAGAUGACGACACAUACUAUUAUAAACCUAUAAAAC
RNAcentral lists this long non-coding RNA (5425 nucleotides) under Zostera marina. RNAcentral describes it as "long non-coding RNA (ZMAR_LNC001753)". The record is from RNAcentral. Lineage: Eukaryota; Viridiplantae; Streptophyta; Magnoliopsida; Alismatales; Zosteraceae.